CCUACGGGAGGCAGCAGUGAGGAAUAUUGGUCAAUGGGCGAGAGCCUGAACCAGCCAAGUAGCGUGCAGGAAGACGGCCCUAUGGGUUGUAAACUGCUUUUAUAAGGGAAUAAAGUGAGCCUCGUGAGGCUUUUUGCAUGUACCUUAUGAAUAAGGACCGGCUAAUUCCGUGCCAGCAGC
Molecule: ribosomal RNA, 180 nt
Filed under: uncultured bacterium
Lineage: Bacteria
Description: partial 16S ribosomal RNA
Rfam family: Bacterial small subunit ribosomal RNA
Source: RNAcentral